Molecule: ribosomal RNA, 708 nt
Filed under: Acinetobacter calcoaceticus
Lineage: Bacteria; Pseudomonadati; Pseudomonadota; Gammaproteobacteria; Moraxellales; Moraxellaceae
Description: bacterial SSU rRNA
Rfam family: Bacterial small subunit ribosomal RNA
Source: RNAcentral
UCCUGGCUCAGAUUGAACGGCGGCGGCAGGCUUAACACNUGCAAGUCGAGCGGGGUGAUGGUGCUUGCACUAUCACCUAGCGGCGGACGGGUGAGUAAUGCUUAGGAAUCUGCCUAUUAGUGGGGGACAACAUUUCGAAAGGAAUGNUAAUACCGCAUACGUCUUACAGGAGAAAGCAGGGGAUCUUCGGACCNUGCGNUAAUAGAUGAGCCUAAGUUGGAUUAGCUAGUUGGUGGGGUAAAGGCCUACCAAGGGGGCGAUCUGUAGCGUGUNUGAGAGGAUGAUCCGCCACACUGGGAAUUAGACCCGGCCCAGAAUCCUACGGGAGGCAGCAAUGGGGAAUAUUGGNCAAUGGGNGCAAGCCUGAUCCAGCCAUGCCGCGUGUGUGAAGAAGGCCUUAUGGUUGUAAAGCACUUUAAGCGAGGAGGAGGCUACUUUAGAUAAUACCUAGAGAUAGUGGACGUUACUCGCAGAAUAAGCACCGGCUAACUCUGUGCCAGCAGCCGCGGUAAUACAGAGGGUGCAAGCGUUAAUCGGAUUUACUGGGCGUAAAGCGCGNNUAGGCGGCUAAUUAAGUCAAAUGUGAAAUCCCCGAGCUUAACUUGGGAAUUGCAUUCGAUACNGNCAAGCUAGAGUGUGGGAGAGGNAUGGUAGAAUUCCAGGUGUAGCGGUGAAAUGCGUAGAGAUCUGGAGGAAUACCGAUGGCGA